ACACUAUUUGUGGCAUUGGGCUGGCAUAGAAAACAUGUCACCGAGGAUCUCAAGUGAUUAUGCUUGUGGCCAAACAAGUUUAGGUGUACACAAUAAAAUUUUUUUAGCUUAUAGAAAAGCAAAUUACGCUGUAAAUAACUUCGACGCUUUAGCCAACUAGCAGUAAAAUCAAAGAAGGAAAAGCUCUUCCUUUCCUUUGCUUGAGGACCAGUGGCACCCGGUGAUUGAAAUGGGCCACCACGCGAUAAACAUAGCCCAAUAUUCAUCCCCAGUCCCGAGAAAUUGAUGCCGGAGAAUAAU
RNAcentral lists this long non-coding RNA (300 nucleotides) under Coffea arabica (coffee). RNAcentral describes it as "long non-coding RNA (CARA_LNC000907)". The record is from RNAcentral. Lineage: Eukaryota; Viridiplantae; Streptophyta; Magnoliopsida; Gentianales; Rubiaceae.